This 396-nucleotide ribosomal RNA is filed under the name uncultured Glomus. RNAcentral describes it as "SSU rRNA". It matches the Rfam family "Eukaryotic small subunit ribosomal RNA", at positions 569 to 968 of the family's 1831-position model. Lineage: Eukaryota; Fungi; Glomeromycota; Glomeromycetes; Glomerales; Glomeraceae. The record is from RNAcentral.
AGCAGCCGCGGUAAUUCCAGCUCCAAUAGCGUAUAUUAAAGUUGUUGCAGUUAAAAAGCUCGUAGUUGAAUUUCGGGGUUAGCAAGUUGGUCGUGCCAUUGGUAUGUACUGGCCUUGCUGAUUCCUCCUUCUUGAAGAACUGUGAUGCUAUUAAUUUGGUGUUGCAGGGAAACAGGACUGUUACUUUAGAAAAAAUUAGAGUGUUUAAAGCAGGCUAACGCUUGAAUACAUUAGCAUGGAAUAAUGAAAUAGGACGUUUGAUCCUAUUUUGUUGGUUUCUAGGAUUGACGUAAUGAUUAAUAGGGAUAGUUGGGGGCAUUAGUAUUCAAUUGUCAGAGGUGAAAUUCUUGGAUUUAUUGAAGACUGACUACUGCGAAAGCAUUUGCCAAGGAUGUU